GAUGAACGCCGGCGGCGUGCCUAAUACAUGCAAGUCGAGCGAACGGACGGGAAGCUUGCUUCUCUGAUGUUAGCGGCGGACGGGUGAGUAACACGUGGAUAACCUACCUAUAAGACUGGGAUAACUUCGGGAAACCGGAGCUAAUACCGGAUAAUAUUUUGAACCGCAUGGUUCAAAAGUGAAAGACGGUCUUGCUGUCACUUAUAGAUGGAUCCGCGCUCCAUUAGCUAGUUGGUAAGGUAACGGCUUACCAAGGCAACGAUGCAUAGCCGACCUGAGAGGGUGAUCGGCCACACUGGAACUGAGACACGGUCCAGACUCCUACGGGAGGCAGCAGUAGGGAAUCUUCCGCAAUGGGCGAAAGCCUGACGGAGCAACGCCGCGUGAGUGAUGAAGGUCUUCGGAUCGUAAAACUCUGUUAUUAGGGAAGAACAUAUGUGUAAGUAACUGUGCACAUCUUGACGGUACCUAAUCAGAAAGCCACGGCUAACUACGUG
Molecule: ribosomal RNA, 497 nt
Filed under: uncultured bacterium
Lineage: Bacteria
Description: partial 16S ribosomal RNA
Rfam family: Bacterial small subunit ribosomal RNA
Source: RNAcentral